RNAcentral lists this ribosomal RNA (429 nucleotides) under Bacteroidota bacterium. RNAcentral's name for it is "Bacteroidetes bacterium partial 16S ribosomal RNA". It matches the Rfam family "Bacterial small subunit ribosomal RNA", at positions 355 to 776 of the family's 1533-position model. Lineage: Bacteria; Pseudomonadati; Bacteroidota. The record is from RNAcentral.
UAGGGAAUCUUCGGCAAUGGGGGGAACCCUGACCGAGCAACGCCGCGUGAGUGAAGAAGGUUUUCGGAUCGUAAAGCUCUGUUGUUAAGGAAGAACGAGUGUGAGAAUGGAAAGUUCAUACUGUGACGGUACUUAACCAGAAAGGGACGGCUAACUACGUGCCAGCAGCCGCGGUAAUACGUAGGUCCCGAGCGUUGUCCGGAUUUAGUGGGCGUAAAGCGAGCGCAGGCGGUUAGAUAAGUCUGAAGUUAAAGGCAGUGGCUCAACCAUUGUAGGCUUUGGAAACUGUUUAACUUGAGUGCAGAAGGGGAGAGUGGAAUUCCAUGUGUAGCGGUGAAAUGCGUAGAUAUAUGGAGGAACACCGGUGGCGACAGCGGCUCUCUGGUCUGUAACUGACGCUGAGGCUCGAAAGCGUGGGGAGCGAACAGG